Molecule: ribosomal RNA, 730 nt
Filed under: uncultured eukaryote
Lineage: Eukaryota
Description: SSU rRNA
Rfam family: Eukaryotic small subunit ribosomal RNA
Source: RNAcentral
CGCGUGUACUGGUCCGGGCCGGGCCUUUCCCUCUGUGGAACCCCAUGCCCUUCACUGGGUGUGGCGGGGAAACAGGACUUUUACUUUGAAAAAAUUAGAGUGCUCCAGGCAGGCCUAUGCUCGAAUACAUUAGCAUGGAAUAAUAGAAUAGGACGUGUGGUUCUAUUUUGUUGGUUUCUAGGACCGCCGUAAUGAUUAAUAGGGACAGUCGGGGGCAUCAGUAUUCAAUUGUCAGAGGUGAAAUUCUUGGAUUUAUUGAAGACUAACUACUGCGAAAGCAUUUGCCAAGGAUGUUUUCAUUAAUCAGGAACGAUAGUUAGGGGAUCGAAGACGAUCAGAUACCGUCGUAGUCUUAACCAUAAACUAUGCCGACUAGGGAUCGGACGGUGUUAUUUUUUGACCCGUUCGGCACCUUACGAGAAAUCAAAGUGCUUGGGCUCCAGGGGGAGUAUGGUCGCAAGGCUGAAACUUAAAGAAAUUGACGGAAGGGCACCACCAGGGGUGGAGCCUGCGGCUUAAUUUGACUCAACACGGGGAAACUCACCAGGUCCAGACACAAUGAGGAUUGACAGAUUGAGAGCUCUUUCUUGAUUUUGUGGGUGGUGGUGCAUGGCCGUUCUUAGUUGGUGGAGUGAUUUGUCUGCUUAAUUGCGAUAACGAACGAGACCUUAACCUGCUAAAUAGCCCGUAUUGCUUUGGCAGUACGCUGGCUUCUUAGAGGGACUAUCGG